GAAAUAUAUUGUUUAUACUAAAGCUGCUAACUUUAAGUAAUAGCGGUUCAACUCCGUUAAUGUUUCU
Molecule: transfer RNA, 67 nt
Filed under: Criotettix japonicus
Lineage: Eukaryota; Metazoa; Arthropoda; Insecta; Orthoptera; Tetrigidae
Description: tRNA-Ser
Source: RNAcentral